CUCCCAAAACUAGUAAUACUGAGUCACGAACUCUAAUUUAAUACAUGCAAUGAUAUCAAGGAUCGAAUAUACAAUACUGUUCGAAUAAGAGUUGACAAUACAAUAAAAUGGAAAGACUCCAAGUGAUUGCGACGACCAAGUAGCCCUACCUUGAAUCCUUGCGAUCACACUCUAACUCUGUCCGAAUAUGAUAUCUCCAAUGUCUGGCUCUGCACAAAAAUAUGCAGAAGUGUAGUAUGAGUACACCAUAGUCGGUACCCAAUAAGUAUCAAGACUAACCUCGGUGGAGCAGUGACGAGGUACAGUCAAGACACUCACUAAUCAUUUAACUUGUGCAAUAUAGUAAUAUACAAGAAUAAUAGAAAACAAAUAUCAAUGACGGCAACAAAGAUCAAUCAGGGAUAUGAACAAUAAGGCAACAAGAACACCAUAAAUAUUGCUCAAACGAAUAAGGAACACAAGUACAACCAAUUAAUCAAAUCCUUCAAAUAUAUGCCUUUCAAAUGUAAGUACUUCAAAUAUAAUUCUUUCACAUAUAAUUUUUUCAAAUAAAAAUCUUUCGAAUAUAAUUCUUUCAAAUAAAAAUCACUCUGUGACACUUCAUUUCAUAAUCAUAAAACACGGGUCUCAGCCCACUUUCAUAUUUUCACAACGGAAAACUCAUGUACCAAAAUAUCAAUGUAUAUAAGAUUCGCACGAUCAAUUUAUUUUCAAUAAAGUAAGUUUACAAUUUUUAAACCAAGUAAGAAAUCAACAAAGAAAUGAGUUUAUUUUUGAACUCGUUUGGGUGAAGAAAAUGACAUUUCAAUUAAAAUGAAGCAUCCAAUAGCUACUGAUUUGGGGGUAAAAUUUAUUAAAUUAAAACAUAAUAGCAAUUUCUUUUACUCAAAACAACUCAAACCUCAAAAACCAGUAAAAAUCAGAAACACAAAUUCUCAGAGUCUCGUACGAAGAGCCAAAGCCAACACAAUACAACAAGGAAUAUAAAUAACAUAAUAAAAUUCAAAUAAUACAUCACGGAAGAACACAAGAAUUUACAUAUCACGGAAAAAUAAAAAUAACCAAAGACAAGUACAGCCAUAGAGAAAUAUCAACAAAUGACACUCCCGAAGUACCGCCUCGUAGUCCCAAAUCAUAAAUAAAUUUCAAUCUUUCCUUAUAUCACCGCGGGAGCCUUCACAUUUAGUUUUUAAAAAUUAUUUUUUCCGAAAUAGCAUCCCGCGUUUUAGCCCACCUUAUCACUCCACAUCAUUUCUAGUAGUUCCCCUACUAGCCACGCGUAUCAAGCCCACCUUAUCUCACCGCAUGCGUUUCAACACCCUGACCUUAUAUCACUGCAUGCGUAUCAAUAUCACAAUAUUUCACAAAUCGCACCUCAAGUGCCCAAAUAUCACAGCAUAACACAACUUGCACCUCAAGUGUUCAAAUAUCACCACGUAUUAUAAAUUUGCCACAGAAAUUAACAAUACAUUAUUUUUCAAAAUAAGGAGCCCAUGGCUCGACCAUAAUGUGCAUAAAAAUCUUAACAAAAAUAUCCGGGAAUGAACAACUCAACAGAAUAAUAUUUCACAAUUUAACACAUUGUCUCAAUAUGAUUUACGACCUUUAUAACUCAAUACCAAUUUCAACUACAUGAAUUGGAAAGUAAUUCAUCAAGGAACAACACCUUCUUUAAUCCAAUUUUUUGACAAAUAGAUUAAUGCCUCCUUUUAAAUUUAUUUAAUAAAUUAUUUGCAAAUGAAUAAUCCAUAAUGAAUUUAUCUCCAGGAAAUAUCAACUCAACAAAAACACGGGAUUCACAUAAAAAUCAAGGUGUCAAUCACACCAAAUUAUCAUAUAAAAAUAAAUUCAACAAACAAGGAUUUAGGCAUGAUAAAUAAAGGAUUUACUAUGUUCCAAUAAUUUUUCAAAUUAAUACAUAAGUGCGUCUACGAAUUUCAACCAAUGUAACUUGCAUAUAUAAACCAAGUACGCAGUCGUCACCUCGCGUACAUGGUUUUCAAUUAUACAAUUUCCACAUAAGACUCAAUGCCUAAGGCAUAAUUCCCCCACUUAAGGUUAGGCAAGAUACUUACCCUUUUGAAGUUAGGCCGAAAUUCCAGAAUAGCCUUCUUGCGUGAAAUGACCUCCGGACGGCUCAAAUCUAUCCAAAUUGAUUGUAUAACUUCAUUAAAAUUCAUCAAAAAUAAAUUCGAAUAAUAAAACGUCAACUUAAAAUUUUGCAUUAAAAAGUCAACGCGGGGCCCGCCUCUCGGAACCGGACAGAAUUUUUACGAAAUCCGAACACCCAUUCCGAUACGAGUUCAACCAUACCAAAUUUAUCAAAUUUCGAUAAAGAAUCGAUCUGCAAAUCUUAAAUUUUUGUUUUUGAAAGAUUUUGCAAAGAUCACAUUUCUUCCAAUUUAUUCACUAAUAAAAGAUGAAAAUAAUCAUGGAAUCAUGAAAUAUAAUGAAACCCGAGUAGGAAACAUUUACGCCAAUCCAUUUGGUGAAAAAUCCUCUAAACAAUCGCCCAAAUCCGAGUACCCUAGCUCCAAAAAUGUUGAAAUGAACUAAAAACAAAACUACUCAAUAAAAAUCCAUUUUCCGUCAUUAAAAGUCAAUUUCCCGUCACUAAAGGUCCGCACCAGAACCUGCUUGCACCAACAAUUUAAUAUUUCACUAAAAAGGCUUUAACUCCAUCAUACGAACUCGAAAUUCGACGAUUCUUGUUCCUAUGAGUCACAAAUAAUAAUACGAACCUAGUCGUUUAAUCGAAACUCAAUGCGGAGCUUAUUUGCUCAAUGCGAUACUAAUUUCACUCGUUAAAUAAUUAACUCAUGUUUCAUGCUAAAAACCCAAUCACGGCUUGAUGAAAUUAGACCAAACUUUUCAGAUUAUUUCUAUAAUUCAUUAUCAAACUCCCGAAAAUCUCAAAAUUAAAUUUCGGUAUCUAGAACUAAAAAUGGACCUUUGAAUCUUACAUGCUUAUGAUCAAAACACCAAACUCUUCCAAAAACCCUUCCAAGACUCAUCCGAGCCCCAUGGGACCUCAACCAAGUAUACUAACAAGUCCCAUAACAUGACACGAACUUAGUUGAUGCCUCAAAUUACAUUAAACAACACUAAAAUACGAAACUCACCCCAAUUCAAGCUUAAUGAAAACUAACAAAUUUCAAAUUCUAUAUUUAAUGUCGAAACCUAUCAAAUCAAUCCGGAAUGACCCCAAAUUUUGCACACGAGUCCUAAAUGACAUAAUGGAUCUGUUCCAAUUUUCGGAAUCAAAUUUCGACUCUGAUAUCAAUGAAGUCAACUCCCGGUCAAACUUUCUAAAAAUCUUCCAUUUUCUAACUUUCGCCAAAAUGCGUCAAAUUGUCCUACGGACCUCCAAAUCCAAAUCCAGACAUAUGCCUAAGUCCGAAAUCACCAUACGAAGCUAUUGACAUCAUCAAAAUUUCAUUCCGGAGUCAUUUACCCAAAAGUCAAACUCCGGUCAACUCUUUUCAUUUAAACUUCAAAAAUAAGAAUUGUUCUUUCAAUUUAGUUCUGAAUCUUCUGGAAAUCAAACUCGAUCGCACACGCAAGUCAUAAUACACAUUACAAAGCUUCGCGGGACCUUGAGUCACUGAACGGGACGUAAAUUCUUAAAACGACAAGUCGGGUCGUUACACGUCAUUAUGAGAAAGUCUAGUUUUUUUCCUUGACCCCUGAUGAAGCUCCAACCCGAGGAUACUUUUAAACCAUAGUAAGAGAUUGAGUUGUAAAAUUGAACUUUUUUCUUAAUGAAUUUCACACGGGGAAUUCACUUAUUUCACACUUGAGCUUCGUCAAUGGCAAUGGCAAAUACGAUAAUUGUCCUAACGGCAACAUUAUAAAUGAACCAAAAGUUUGGAGGAGGGGAAAGUUGUUCAAUUUCGGGUAAUACAAGGACAAAUUUGAACCUAUUCCCUUGUUGGAAGUUUUUGCUUGAUUUACAUGCUACAACAUAGAUGAUGAGACUACUACUAACUCAAUGUUAAAAAACAAGAUAGAAAGCAUAGUUAAAACGUCAACAAAGAAGAGGACAAGAAACAAGACAAGAACCAAUAAAACCUAUUGAAUGCAUUAAAAAUCACACAUACAUGCCUUAAACGUUUCACUUCCAUGUCAAUACAUGCAUUAAAUUCUAUAUGGCAGAAGCAUCAUGUCAAAAUCGGUGGAUUAUAUCUGUGUAGUUUGUGUAUUAAGAUUGAGCAUUCAUCAAUGGAGGCUUAGCUGUGAAAGAACAGAGAUGAGUGAAGAGAAUUUGGAGAAGAAGAAGAAAA
This 4283-nucleotide long non-coding RNA is filed under the name Nicotiana tabacum (common tobacco). RNAcentral describes it as "long non-coding RNA (NTAB_LNC017041)". Lineage: Eukaryota; Viridiplantae; Streptophyta; Magnoliopsida; Solanales; Solanaceae. The record is from RNAcentral.